RNAcentral lists this ribosomal RNA (149 nucleotides) under uncultured Myroides sp. Its description in RNAcentral is "partial 16S ribosomal RNA". It matches the Rfam family "Bacterial small subunit ribosomal RNA", at positions 334 to 480 of the family's 1533-position model. Lineage: Bacteria; Pseudomonadati; Bacteroidota; Flavobacteriia; Flavobacteriales; Flavobacteriaceae. The record is from RNAcentral.
UACUCCUACGGGAGGCAGCAGUGAGGAAUAUUGGUCAAUGGAGGCAACUCUGAACCAGCCAUGCCGCGUGCAGGAUGACGGUCCUAUGGAUUGUAAACUGCUUUUGUACGGGAAGAAAACAAACUACGCGUAGUUAAUUGACGGUACCG